Molecule: ribosomal RNA, 1225 nt
Filed under: Staphylococcus aureus
Lineage: Bacteria; Bacillati; Bacillota; Bacilli; Caryophanales; Staphylococcaceae
Description: bacterial SSU rRNA
Rfam family: Bacterial small subunit ribosomal RNA
Source: RNAcentral
GCAAUGCGCUGCUAUACAUGCAGUCGAGCGAACGGACGAGAAGCUUGCUUCUCUGAUGUUAGCGGCGGACGGGUGAGUAACACGUGGAUAACCUACCUAUAAGACUGGGAUAACUUCGGGAAACCGGAGCUAAUACCGGAUAAUAUUUUGAACCGCAUGGUUCAAAAGUGAAAGACGGUCUUGCUGUCACUUAUAGAUGGAUCCGCGCUGCAUUAGCUAGUUGGUAAGGUAACGGCUUACCAAGGCAACGAUGCAUAGCCGACCUGAGAGGGUGAUCGGCCACACUGGAACUGAGACACGGUCCAGACUCCUACGGGAGGCAGCAGUAGGGAAUCUUCCGCAAUGGGCGAAAGCCUGACGGAGCAACGCCGCGUGAGUGAUGAAGGUCUUCGGAUCGUAAAACUCUGUUAUUAGGGAAGAACAUAUGUGUAAGUAACUGUGCACAUCUUGACGGUACCUAAUCAGAAAGCCACGGCUAACUACGUGCCAGCAGCCGCGGUAAUACGUAGGUGGCAAGCGUUAUCCGGAAUUAUUGGGCGUAAAGCGCGCGUAGGCGGUUUUUUAAGUCUGAUGUGAAAGCCCACGGCUCAACCGUGGAGGGUCAUUGGAAACUGGAAAACUUGAGUGCAGAAGAGGAAAGUGGAAUUCCAUGUGUAGCGGUGAAAUGCGCAGAGAUAUGGAGGAACACCAGUGGCGAAGGCGACUUUCUGGUCUGUAACUGACGCUGAUGUGCGAAAGCGUGGGGAUCAAACAGGAUUAGAUACCCUGGUAGUCCACGCCGUAAACGAUGAGUGCUAAGUGUUAGGGGGUUUCCGCCCCUUAGUGCUGCAGCUAACGCAUUAAGCACUCCGCCUGGGGAGUACGACCGCAAGGUUGAAACUCAAAGGAAUUGACGGGGACCCGCACAAGCGGUGGAGCAUGUGGUUUAAUUCGAAGCAACGCGGAGAACCUUACCAAAUCUUGACAUCCUUUGACAACUCUUGAGAUAGAGCCUUCCCCUUCGGGGGACAAAUGACAGGGGUGCAGGGUGUCGUCACCUCCGUCCGGGGAAGUUGGGGUUAGUCCGCCACAAGGGCACCCUUAACUUAUUGCCCCCCUAAAUGGGGCGCUAAUUUACUGCCGUGACGACCCCAGAAGGGGGGGGUGAGUCAAAUAUAAGCCCCUUUAUUUGGGUACCCCCGCUCCAUGGAAAAUAAAGGAGGGAACCCGGGCAGCAAUCCUAAUU